GACGAACCGUGCGAACGUUGUUCGGAAUCACUGGGCUUAAAGGGCGCGUAGGCGGGUUCGCAAGUCAGGGGUGAAAUCUUUCAGCUUAACUGGAAAACAGCCCCUGAUACUGCGAGUCUCGAGGGAGGUAGGGGCAUGUGGAACUUCCGGUGGAGCGGUGAAAUGCGUAGAUAUCGGAAGGAACACCGAUUGCGAAGGCAGCUCGCUGGGACGUAACUGACGCUGAGACGCGAAAGCGUGGGGAGCAAACAGG
This 253-nucleotide ribosomal RNA is filed under the name uncultured bacterium. Its description in RNAcentral is "partial 16S ribosomal RNA". It matches the Rfam family "Bacterial small subunit ribosomal RNA", at positions 524 to 776 of the family's 1533-position model. The record is from RNAcentral.